AGUGUACGCUGGUGGUAGGCCUAACACAUGCAAGUCGAACGGCAGCACAGUAAGAGCUUGCUCUUACGGGUGGCGAGUGGCGGACGGGUGAGGAAUACAUCGGAAUCUACUUUUUCGUGGGGGAUAACGUAGGGAAACUUACGCUAAUACCGCAUACGACCUACGGGUGAAAGCAGGGGAUCUUCGGACCUUGCGCGAUUGAAUGAGCCGAUGUCGGAUUAGUUAGUUGGCGGGGUAAAGGCCCACCAAGGCGACGAUCCGUAGCUGGUCUGAGAGGAUGAUCAGCCACACUGGAACUGAGACACGGUCCAGACUCCUACGGGAGGCAGCAGUGGGGAAUAUUGGACAAUGGGCGCAAGCCUGAUCCAGCCAUACCGCGUGGGUGAAGAAGGCCUUCGGGUUGUAAAGCCCUUUUGUUGGGAAAGAAAAGCAGCAGGUUAAUACCCCGCUGUUCUGACGGUACCCAAAGAAUAAGCACCGGCUAACUUCGUG
This 492-nucleotide ribosomal RNA is filed under the name uncultured bacterium. RNAcentral describes it as "partial 16S ribosomal RNA". It matches the Rfam family "Bacterial small subunit ribosomal RNA", at positions 29 to 507 of the family's 1533-position model. The record is from RNAcentral.